UAUAAUUAUACAUCAUACACAAGAGAUACACAUUGCAUAGCUAAGCUAUACAAUGAGAAUAAAAAUGGCGAAAACUGAUAAAAAAGAGAUACUGUAAAGUAAUCCAAGUUUAAAAUAGCACUUGAAGUUAUGUCUGCCUUACAAUUGCAAGUUUGUACUUCUGACAAUAAACUGAAGACUAUCUAUAGUUUCUCUUGCCAAGGGAGUGCCACCAGGUAAUAUUGACAUUGAUUUCUCCUCGAGUCUUUAUGCUAUCACAGAGUUAAUGGAUAUGGAUGGAAAAUCAUUUCCUCCCUGAUAAACACAUUUUUAUAGGUAUUAAAUCACAAAACUCUCACUCUUUAAGGCAGUAGGAUUAUAAAAUUCUCAGAUUAUUUUUUGUUGUGUAAGCAAGUUCCAAGAAAGCUCCAAGAGCUCCAUAGACCUCCUCACUGUUUUCCUACUUGUCUUGAUGAGAAAAAGAAAAAAAGAAAGAAAGGAAAAAGGAAGAAAAAGAUUCUGCAAACAGGGGACUCUAAUCCGAGAAUUUUGGAAUCAUAGAUUCACAGAAUGAUCUGGGUUGGAAGGGACCUUGAAGAUCAUCUGAUUCCAACCCCCCUGCCAUGGACAGGGAUACUUCCCGUUAGACCAGGUUGCUCAAAGCCCCAUCCAGUGUGGCCUUGAACACCUCCUGGGAUGAGGCAUCCACAACUUCAGUUCCUCUUCACCCUCAUCAUGAACUUGGACAUCAAGCCAUUGACUGCAACUCUGAGUGUGACCAUCCAGCCAAUUCCUUACCCACCAAGAUGGACAUCCAUCGAAUCCAUGUCUCUCCAAAACAGAGACAAGGAUGUUGUGCGGGACAGUGUUAAAUAUUUUGCACAAGUCCAGAAGAUAGAUCUAUUCACAUAUUCCAGCAUGUAUUUGCCUUUUUCAUAACAAUAUUGUGUUGUUUACUCAUGGCCUGGCUUAAAAUCCACUGUGACCCCUAGAUCAUUUUUGUACAGCAUCAUUUUCUCACCUGAUGUCACUGCAUUACUGUACAUACCAUUCUACCACAAAGGAAGUGAUAAUGGUGCUCAGUUAUUUUCACAUUCUUUUAUAUUCUAAGCCUGAUCUUGAAUGUAAUGACAAUAAACCUGUCUGCAAAUU
Long non-coding RNA from Cygnus olor (mute swan), 1131 nucleotides. RefSeq lists it as uncharacterized. The transcript has 2 exons. NCBI's taxonomy places the organism in Eukaryota, Metazoa, Chordata, Aves, Anseriformes, Anatidae. The record is from RefSeq and is a predicted model, not a curated record.